RNAcentral lists this ribosomal RNA (1467 nucleotides) under metagenome. RNAcentral describes it as "bacterial SSU rRNA". It matches the Rfam family "Bacterial small subunit ribosomal RNA". The record is from RNAcentral.
AGAGUUUGAUCCUGGCUCAGGACGAACGCUGGCGGCGCGCCUAACACAUGCAAGUCGAACGAGAGAUGAGGAGCUUGCUCUUCAAAUCGAGUGGCGAACGGGUGAGUAACGCGUGAGGAACCUGCCUCAAAGAGGGGGACAACAGUUGGAAACGACUGCUAAUACCGCAUAAGCCCACAGCUCGGCAUCGAGCAGAGGGAAAAGGAGUGAUCCGCUUUGAGAUGGCCUCGCGUCCGAUUAGCUAGUUGGUGAGGUGACGGCCCACCAAGGCGACGAUCGGUAGCCGGACUGAGAGGUUGAACGGCCACAUUGGGACUGAGACACGGCCCAGACUCCUACGGGAGGCAGCAGUGGGGAAUAUUGCACAAUGGGGGAAACCCUGAUGCAGCGACGCCGCGUGGAGGAAGAAGGUCUUCGGAUUGUAAACUCCUGUUGUUGAGGAAGAUAAUGACGGUACUCAACAAGGAAGUGACGGCUAACUACGUGCCAGCAGCCGCGGUAAACGUAGGUCACAAGCGUUGUCCGGAAUUACUGGGUGUAAAGGGAGCGCAGGCGGGAGAACAAGUUGGAAGUGAAAUCCAUGGGCUCAACCCAUGAACUGCUUUCAAAACUGUUUUUCUUGAGUAGUGCAGAGGUAGGCGGAAUUCCCGGUGUAGCGGUGGAAUGCGUAGAUAUCGGGAGGAACACCAGUGGCGAAGGCGGCCUACUGGGCACCAACUGACGCUGAGGCUCGAAAGUGUGGGUAGCAAACAGGAUUAGAUACCCUGGUAGUCCACACCGUAAACGAUGAUUACUAGGUGUUGGAGGAUUGACCCCUUCAGUGCCGCAGUUAACACAAUAAGUAAUCCACCUGGGGAGUACGACCGCAAGGUUGAAACUCAAAGGAAUUGACGGGGGCCCGCACAAGCAGUGGAGUAUGUGGUUUAAUUCGACGCAACGCGAAGAACCUUACCAAGUCUUGACAUCCCUUGACGAUACUGGAAACAGUAUUUCUCUUCGGAGCAAGGAGACAGGUGGUGCAUGGUUGUCGUCAGCUCGUGUCGUGAGAUGUUGGGUUAAGUCCCGCAACGAGCGCAACCCUUAUGGUCAGUUACUACGCAAGAGGACUCUGGCCAGACUGCCGUUGACAAAACGGAGGAAGGUGGGGAUGACGUCAAAUCAUCAUGCCCUUUAUGACUUGGGCUACACACGUACUACAAUGGCGUUAAACAAAGAGAAGCAAGACCGCGAGGUGGAGCAAAACUCAGAAACAACGUCCCAGUUCGGACUGCAGGCUGCAACUCGCCUGCACGAAGUCGGAAUUGCUAGUAAUCGUGGAUCAGCAUGCCACGGUGAAUACGUUCCCGGGCCUCGUACACACCGCCCGUCACACCAUGAGAGCCGGGGGGACCCGAAGUCGGUAGUCUAACCGCAAGGAGGACGCCGCCGAAGGUAAAACUGGUGAUUGGGGUGAAGUCGUAACAAGGU